This 300-nucleotide ribosomal RNA is filed under the name uncultured bacterium. RNAcentral's name for it is "bacterial SSU rRNA". It matches the Rfam family "Bacterial small subunit ribosomal RNA", at positions 333 to 651 of the family's 1533-position model. The record is from RNAcentral.
UGCUCCCUACGGGGGGCAGCAGUGGGGAAUAUUGCACAAUGGGGGAAACCCUGAUGCAGCAACGCCGCGUGAGUGAAGAAGUCAUUCGUGAUGUAAAGCUCUAUCAGCAGGGAAGAAAAUGACGGUACCUGAGUAAGAAGCCCCGGCUAACUACGUGCCAGCAGCCGCGGUAAUACGUAGGGGGCAAGCGUUAUCCGGAUUUAUUGGGUUUAAAGGGUGCGCAGGCGGCACGGCAAGCCGGCGGUCAAAUCGCGGGGCUCAACCCCGCCCAGCCGUCGGAACUGCCGGGCUAGAGUGGGC